CUAAGCUCCUCCAGGGCAGGAUUAGUGUCCAAUUUGUGGCUGCCUCUUCUAAAGCAUGUGGCUCAGCACCUGACCCAGCUGCCUUUGUGAGGGGGAUUUUCUCUUGCAAUGUCACUCCUUCUGUUCUUUGGUUCUUGGAAGCAUAGCUGGUGUUAUGAGAGCGUUGGGCCACUGUGGCUCAGGAGACCCGCUUUCUAGUUCUGGCACUGCUUCUGACUGUAUGAUCUUGAGUAACCAGCAUGGCAUCUGGAAGCCUCACAAAGCCAAGUGGGACUAAGGACCCCCUCCUCUGUCAAGUGGGGAUACAAAUGAACAACUAGAUGAAGAGGUAAAAUAAAGCAAGGUCUGGAGGGGCCUGGGCACAGGAGCUUCUGCCCUUGUGGAAUUGGGAUGCGCCACCCUCCGGACACAUCAACGUGUUCACAACUCAGAUGCUCUCUGAACCCUACUGUUUAGGAGUUUUUUAUGGAUGUUUCAUAAGCCUCUGUGUCUUUAUCAGCCUUGUAGGGAUGUGGAGAGGAUUAAAUGCCGCAAUAUGUCAAUGCCUGGCACCGUGGUACAUCCUGGAGAAGUAUCUGUGGCAUCUGAAUUCUGGAAUCUCUGUGCCUCGUGGUAGUCUAAUAAAAAUAGAUCUAAUAAAUCA
Canis lupus familiaris (dog) is the source of this 643-nucleotide long non-coding RNA. RefSeq lists it as uncharacterized. NCBI's taxonomy places the organism in Eukaryota, Metazoa, Chordata, Mammalia, Carnivora, Canidae. The transcript has 4 exons. The record is from RefSeq and is a predicted model, not a curated record.